Equus caballus (horse) is the source of this 1720-nucleotide long non-coding RNA. Lineage: Eukaryota; Metazoa; Chordata; Mammalia; Perissodactyla; Equidae. The record is from Ensembl.
GGCCACCCGAAUUUGCAUUUCUGGAUGCUCUUACUGGACAGGGAUGGGCCUGAGAAGUCUUUAGUGCCCCUCUGGGUAACACCAUGCUGAGCUCUCUGAAGAGGACACAAAAGAGAACAAGAAUGUGGGUAACGACCACAAAGAGACAAGGACUAGCUGGAGGAGAGACUGCCAGUGCUCACACUGUAACUGGAGUGCUCUGAGCAAAACGCAUCGCAAACUGAGCAGAGCAGCUCACAUUUCCCGGGAAUCCAGAGGCCUCCUCGGCCAAGGACUCCACAAUGCUGGAUAUUUUCAUCCUGAUGUUCUUUGCCAUCAUAGGCCUGGUCAUUCUGUCCUACAUUAUCUAUCUGCUCUAGCGGCCUGUAGCUGCGGCGGGGAGCCCACAGGAGAACAGCUCAGGGGGGAAGGAUGAAGCUGGCUGGCCGAGCAUCCUGCUUUGUUGACGCACCGGUGGAUUUUUGCUUCUGGUCGUCAUUUCGGCUCCUGGUCUCCAAUCCAACAAGAGGCCUCUUAUCAACAGCAGCAGUCCUACUGCCCAGCAGACCUCUUCCAGAGCCUCCCGGAUACGGUUAACCCCUGUCAAGCAAGGGGCUUUUUGAGCUCAGAGGCACAGGCGCUCGGCUGGGACGUGAGGAAUUCAUGGGCCCUGCUGGCAGAUACUGUGUGCGUGUGUGAGUGUAGAUAGAGGGUGUUGAGAACACAGAGCUGAAAUGUGGACUCAUUCAAGUUACCAUGGAGAACUGCUCAGAAUUCAUUUUAUAGGCUUUCCUUAGGUCUAAAUGCAACUGUAUAUUAUGCUAAAAUAUGUUCCUUCCUUUCCCGCUCACACGCAGGGUUUCCCCUGUAAAUUCAAGAGCGCGCUGUCUCUGUUCAUCUAUGAGACGUCACUUUAUCACUCACUGUCUCUACAGAUUGCACAAUCUGGGCUUGUGUGGUUUCCCUGUCUUACACUCGAGCCAGAAGGAACUUGUCAUUUGAGUUUUUAAGAUUUAUCGUAUCUUCCCCAUUCCAUACCACUUCUGCCCCAGCUUCUCAUUUUAAGAGAGAAACAGUUAAUUAUCCUCAUUCUUUGUGCCUGGCUGAAUUAUAAAUUAUUGAAACAAGAUGGCUAUACUUAUCUUAUUAUUUGGGAAAAAUAUCUCUCUUAUCCCAAAAUAAACGAUUUUUAUGUUGUCAAAUGUUCCUUUUCUGGAAAAAAACCUUUCAGCAUAUUUCUGUCCAGUUAGGGUGAAGAAACCAUGUAUUUUGGAGGCCAGGGUAGACUUGGGCCCCAAAUCUGUAGUAUCUAUUCUUUUGAAAAAUCUAUCAUAAUUGUUAUACAUUUGAUUCUCCUUUCUAGCUUAAAAAUAAACAAGGAGAAAGAUUAACUUAAUAGUUUUUAUUCAUACCAUCAUGUUCAAUUUCCAUGUUUUAAAAAGACGUAAGAUCGAGGCAGUAUAUGUCACAAUUAAAAUGGAAAACUUGCAUAAAUUCUGGCCAAGAAAAAACACUGUUUUGGGAGAUUUGUCUUGGCAACAAAUUAUGUGACCUUCAGUAAGUCAUUUAACCUUCAGGGUUUCAUUUUUUCCUGACAAGUGAAAGAGUUGGACUAGAAAAUUGUUAGUGUCCCUUUCCACUUAAGAAUUCUCCAGUUCUAGAAUGAUUAUCUUUGGAAGCUACAUCUUUGAGAUCAGAAUUCCCACGGAACAAACUCUUAAUAGUUUGCCAGUAGUUCCCU